GGGAUGUGUGCUGGAAAGGGUUCACACAUAUAAUCCCAGCACUUUGGGAGGCUGAGGUAGGAAGAUCGCUGGAACCCAGGAGUUCAAGACCAUCCUGGGUAAGAUAACAGCACCUCAGAGAAGAUUUGGAAAAUAAAUGAGCUGAUGAGAGCAAUUUUCUGCUUCCUGGGCCACCACAGUCUUCUUUGCUGUUUUUGAUUGCAACCAUUUUCAGAGAAGAAUCAACACCAAAGGAGGCUGAGUCAGGAGGACCACUUGAGCCCAGGAAUCUGAGACUGCAGUGAGCUGUGAUCACACCGCUAAACUCCAACCUGAGCAACAGAGCAAGACCCUGUCUCAAAAAAAAAAGCCUCAAUACCUGAAACAGAGCUGGCAUGUGGCAUAUCCUCAGAAACAUUUGCUAAAUGACACCUAGUCUAUAGGAGGAGGACUCAUUCUUAACCAUUAGAUUUAGCCAUGCAGAAGUCAGAUCAAGAGUAAACAGAGCAAGAACAGUUUUGGUGCUGUGAUGGGUCAAAAGCCUGAGUCAGAUUACAUGUAUAUAAAUUACCUAGUAACGAGCAUGACCUCUGUCCAAGCAGAAGGCAAGCAGGGGAGAAGAUUUAGCUGCUCAACUACAGUUAUUCUCUCAACCCAAGCUAAGGUAGUUGGUGCCAUACAUUUCCCACAGGACUACUAUUUUCCAAUAUCAACAUCUUUAAUUUAUUUAUUUAUUUUUGUUUUAGUGCACUAGCUGGAAGUUUCGAUAUAAUGUUAAAUACAAAGGAUGAGAGUAAAUAUUCUUACAUUUUUCCUGGUCUUAUGAAGAAAGAAUUUUCUUUCACCAUUAAGUAUUAUGUUGUCUGUAGGUUUUUCACAUAUGUUCAUAGUGGGUUGAAGCACUCUCUUUUU
Long non-coding RNA from Homo sapiens (human), 891 nucleotides. RefSeq annotates it as long independently transcribed non-coding RNA 3071. The record is from RefSeq and is marked validated. The transcript is spliced from 7 exons. Lineage: Eukaryota; Metazoa; Chordata; Mammalia; Primates; Hominidae.